Molecule: non-coding RNA, 811 nt
Organism: Pelobates cultripes (western spadefoot toad)
Lineage: Eukaryota; Metazoa; Chordata; Amphibia; Anura; Pelobatidae
Source: the annotation of a GenBank genome assembly
GGGAAUUACAGGGAGACAAAGGUGCCGUACUUCCUCCCCAGCGGUAGUGUGUAUUACAGGGAGCUGAAGGUGUCAUCCUUCCUCCCCAGCAGUUAAGGGAGUCCCAGGGAGCUGAAGGUGCUGUCCUUCCUACCAAGCGGCAGUGUGUGUUACAGGGAGCUGAAGGUGUCAUCCUUCCUCCCCAGCAGUCAAGGGAAUUACAGGGAGACAAAGGUGCCGUCCUUCCUCCCCAGUGGCAGUGUGUGUUACAGGGAGCUGAAGGUGUCGUCCUUCCUCCCCAGCAGUCAAGGGAAUUACAGGGGGACAAAGGUGCCGUCCUUCCUCCCCAGCCGCAGUGUGUGUUACAGUCCCCUGUUCCUGCUACUCUCUCUGGACUAGGAGAGGUCUACCCACUGCAAGCUGGAUCCUGGUCUUGUGUCCAGGGUGGGUGGAGGACGGCGAGACCCCAACCAAGCUGCGGCGGUUUGUGGGGUCUAUGGUGGUUAUGGUGUUCCAGUGCAGUGAUUAUGGUACUCGCAAGUACUAGGAAGCAGCAAUAGACGGAGGUACCCGGUCGGGGUGCCUGGUGGUCCGUAACAGACUGUGAUCUUAUUCAGCUCCCUGUAGUCCACACAGGGACUUAGGCUACCAUCCUUUCUCCCCACAAAAAAGAUUCCAGCCCCUGCUGGAAAAGUAGAAGGUCGGAUAAAUCCUUUUGCCAAAUUUUCAUUGAUGUAUUCUUUGAGAACAAGAAGUUAUUUUUUCGCCAAGGUGUAUAUUCUACCAAACGGCAUGGGGGCUCCAGGUAACAGGUCUGUGAGGCAAUUAUAUU